UGUUUUGGGUAUUGUGGGUCUCUUCUGGUUCCAUACAGAUUUUAAGUUUGUUUGUUUUAGGUCUGUGAAGAAUGCUGAUGUUAUUUUGACUGGGAUCACCAGAGGAGGAUAUUCUUAAUGAGAGAUAUUUAAAAAUUUGAGUUGAGUUGUAAGAAAUGAAGGUUAGUCAUACUGCUAAUAGGAAAAAAAUUUUUUUUGAGUUCAGAAUUCAUUUCUAGUAUAGAAUCUCUUGGGGCUCUGUUCCCAGAUAUUAGGAUUUAUGUUUCCGACAUGGGCCCCACACAUUGGUAAAUAGUUUUGGGCUAUUGAAUAGCCAUGAGUAAUUGCUACGUAGCUCUCAACCUGCUCAUCUUUUUUAGAGAGAUGACAUGUUUCAAAAAAAAUCCAGAAAACAAAACAAAACCAAAAAAACUGUUCCCUGGCCAAUAACCUCAAGUAAGCCGAUUUGAGGUAAGGAAGAUAACAUUUGGUUCUAAUGUAUCUCCUGCCUGUUCUGUUUUCUUCUACUUGUGCACCAGUGGAGUUUAAUGCUAACACCAUGAGGAUAAAAACCAAAUGCAUACAUUGAAAGUAAACUCAUCCAUGUGUUUCUUAUCUUACCUAGAUUUGUGACAGAAUUUUAACUUAGUAGGUUAAAAAUGGCUGAUGCUGUUCAACUACUGGCUGUUAGACACACACUGCUAUUGAGACCCAGUACCGAAUCAUCUGCCUUUAUUUCCCCUUUUAAAAGGGAAAAAUGCCCUGCUUUGGAGAAUUUGAUUUCAUGAUGCAAAUGCUCCGGUAUGGCUGAAAACUAGCUACCUCCCACAUGACAUCAAUGAACAUGUAGUUGGGCAAAGCUGUGUACAGACUGUUGGGGACGGUACGACCCCACAGCCCCAGCAUACUACUUGUAAUGGAAAAUUGUCAGGGCAAAGAAACAUGCUGUUUACUUCUUCCUUGCCUGGAAUUGAAUUAAAUAUAUUUGGCUAGCUUAAAGUGAUUAAUUUUCCAAAGAUCAACUACAAAGGAAAUUUGGAUGAGAUUCAGGCCACCACAAAGCUGAAAAUUAAACCAAAGGAAACAUACACUAUCUCAUUCAUCGUAGGGAAAAGUAUCCUUCCUUCCUACAUUUUGCUGUAUUGAUUCAAAGCCCUGUGUUGAUUAUUUUUUAUUAGAGUAUCAUGAUUUAAGACAAAGACAAAAAUGCAUAGUUAUUCAUUUGUAGAUGUCUGAUCAUGUAGAGAACAUAGCCCUACAAAGCAAAACUGUUAAUAGCUGCAAAGUCAAGGUGGAUUCCCACUCAGUAUUUGGUUCUGGUGUCAUUAGUGAUGGACACACACACACACACACACACACACACACACAGCAGAGUAUAGCGGGGCUCUCAGUCUGGUCCAGAAUGGCCUGCAGUAGCUUAAAAGAACCAGGAAAGAAAGCUGCUUGGGUUUUGUUUUGUCGUCGUAUUUCUGUGUCCGUGGGCCGGCUGGGAGAAUAGGGCUGGUUUCCUGGCACAUGGUCUCCAGUUCUGCCAGGGCCCAAUCAGGGGGCCUUUUAUCCGCUUUCCCAGCUCUGGGGCAGAAGGUGAAGAAGGCUUAGGUUGAAACGAUGCUGACAAUCAAGCAUCAGAAACAUGGAGCCACACUCUUUGUUAUGAAACAGACAGAUACAAUCUCAUUAUAUAUCACAAACACAUAAGGGAGCAAGGUGGCUUGGAUUGAAAGAGUUGAAAAAUCAUGGGACAUGCUCAUUUUAAUAAAUUUUAAUAAAGGUGACUUCACCUGCUCAGAGUCCCUUGAGGUCACAGGGAAGUGACCAGUUGGCUGCAUUUUAAUCUUCAUGGUGACUGUGUUGAGGAACCUGCUUUAAAAGGAAGGCAUGCUUUGAAAUACUCAAUAAUACUUUUUGACAGUUUUAGAGUUGAAUCAUUCACACUUACCAGUCAUAUAAAUAAAUCCACAAGAGACAUUAACGUCCGUCAAUGAACAAAAACCCAGAUCCCUUUACUUACGAAUACUGUACUCCCAGAACUCUUUUAGGGUCUGUGAUUAUUAAAAAAAGCCUAGGGGUUACAGGUGGAUAAGAUGAACCUUGCUAGUGAGGAGCCCUUAGUCACAUGUGUCAGUCACCGCAGAACAGCAGACCUUGCAAGAUCACUCUCAGCAGAUGUGAUCCUAAAAAGAAAGGAUAAAACCCAAAUGCAUCUAUCGAGGUAAAAUUUGUCACUACAUCUCUUACAUGGAUUUGUGAGUAAAUUGUCAUUUAAUAAAAUAGCUGAAGCACUCCAGUGAGCUGCCCAUUGAGACCAGUGUCAAUGUUUUCUCUCUCCUCCAUCCUCAAAAAUACGCUAUUAACUCCUGUGUGUUAAGCACUCAGAAGAGUGUUUUGCUUGCCUAAAGAGAAAAUUGUCUAUCUCCUUGUCAGAAGAGAAAAACAUCUAUUAUUCGAAUAUCAAACGUUCUAUUUGUUGUUUUCCCCCAUGGAAGGCUGCAAUUUCAAAAAUGCAUUCACACUACUUGAAGACAGGAUUGUUAGAGUGACAAAGCACUGAAUUCAAGUCAUAUGUCAAAGCCAGAUUUUUCUGCUGUCGUCUCCUCUUUCUCUUAAUAAAUUGGAUUUAAAUAAAUAAAGCAGACCACAUGCAGAUAUGUCCAGAAUUUUAUGUUGUUAACGAAUGAAUCGUAUCCUUCAAAAAUUCAUAUUCACCCUGAUCCCCAGAACCUCAGACCUUAUUUGGAAAUAGGAUUGUUGCAGAUGCAGUUGGUUCAGAUGAGGUCUUCCUGGUGUGGGGAAGGCUCCUGACUCAAAUGCCUGGUGUUCUCACACAAAGGGGAACCAGACCCAUACACGGGAAAAUGCCAUGUGUAGGUCAAGGCAGAGAUCUGUGUGGUGCCUCAUCUACGAGACAAGGAACGCCAAAGACUGUCAGCAGGGCACCAGAAGCUAGUCCACCACAGAUCUCAGAAGGAGCCAGCCCCAACAUCUGAUCGCGGACUCUAGACCCCAGAGCUGUAGGGAAGGCAGGUGGGUCUUCAACCACCCGGUCUGUGCGCUUUGUGAUUUCAGCCCUAGAAAGCUCAUACACCUGUACACCACACACAGAUGCCGUCUUUAAAAUCCAUCCAUCCCAUCUCCGAUUGCCUGAUGCUGCAAUUUGUAACUUAAAAAAAGUUGCCGUCUAGCUCAACCACACUUUGACGCCACCAAAGUGAAAUAAAUCAAGACCAAACCAUAUAUACAUAUGAAAAUACAUAUAGUAAUAUAAAUGGUGCUUGUGGGUGAGGGGAUAGCCUUCUUUUUUGUAUAAAAUAAAACUAGAGAGGUAAUGUACAGACGAUUGUGAAAAACGUGUCCUGCUACCCCCUGACGCUGCCUAUGGAAAUACAGCCUAGGAAUCACUACUGAAGAUUUUUAGCAAUACCCAGUGCCUUUGAAUUAGAUGACUUCUGUUGCCUAACACCUAAUUUGAGAAGUUCAUAGUCCUUUGUUUUUAAUUCUACGAGUAUACUAUAUGAAUCUCUUUAAUUAGAAAAUUGUAAGUUUGAAACGCUCUAGUGACAAGUCUUAAUGACACAAUCAGGAGUAUAGAUUACAAACGUGAUUAUGUUGGUUGAGUGUGUUGGUCUGUCAAAGACCCUGAAUCAAUAUUAACAGAGUGGUGGAAAGACAGGUUUCAGGACAAGAUGGAAAAACACUGCUAAAUGGAGAGCACUUCUGUGUAAGAGCGAUUUUGUAUUUUAGAGAGAGCCCCACAAUAAGGUGCCAUGCUAAGGAGAAAAUAUUGACAGGGGACCUUGCCGGAUAUUAAGGAAGCAAAGGUAAAUGUUAAUUAUCAUAUUCCAAGGCCAGUCACACUGUAUAUACCAGGUGAGGAUAAACGGCUGCAGAAGUAUUUGGUUAAAGGCGCUAGUGAUUAUUUUGAGGUUUGUCAGCCAUGAAAUCCACAAAGAUUUAUUGAGCACAUCCUGUUUCCUAGACAUUAGAAACACACAGAUAAACGUGUCUUAAAUUUCCUAGUAAUGCUGAUUUUGAGAGCACUAAAUGACUAGAUUAUAAUUAUAUUAUCUUUUAGAAGUCAAUGCGUAGGAAGAUGAAGCAGCUAAUUUGUUAGAGAACAGCCAUGGUCUUGCCUAUGAGUAGCACAAACAUAUUCCAGCUCAGAAGCAUUUAUUAUCACCCGGUAGUAUUAAAGGACACUGAGUACAUAAAAAUGUAGGAAAUAAUUUUAAACGAAUUGCGCACGAAAUCAGGUUGACUGUAUAUUUAAAAUGCACAUUUAUCGGUCCUGACAGCUGUCAAUCUAACGACUCAUUUUCAUGAAGUAGAGUCUUGUCAGGAUGAUUAGCUGUUGUGCAGGAUGCUGUCAAUCACACGAGUGUGAAGGUCUCAGCUCCUGUUUUCUUGCCUGGUUCCCCGUGCUGCUCGCUGCCACGCAGUAUUGAUUCCACCUUAUUUCUGCGGUGACGAAUAGUGAAAUUAUAAAGACAGAUUUAGGAGUUACUUGGAUCCCAUCCUAUGAAAGUCCUUUAAAAGAACCUGCUAUAUUUCUGAAUGUAUUUCAUUUCAAUAAAAAUUAUAUUAAUCACCAGAUUGCAAAGUUUGUGUUUUGGGGGGUUUCGGAAACUUGGAUAGGUUUUGACAUUGCCUAAUAACCCCCGUAAAUAAAAAGACAACUUAGAAAAGGAAAUGUAUAGAAACUAAAGGCAGUGUUUUAUGAAUCAAAAUAUUUAACUUGAGUGAUAUUACAAUGUGUAUUUUGAUAACAUGGUUUUAAUACAAGGAGUGAGAAAUUUCAUUUUAAUAUAUGUAAGCUUCCCUUCAAUACAUGUACCAUCAUUUAUCUACCCAGUGACUUUCUUCUAAUAUGAAAAUUAGAAUGAUAGUAAGAUAUCUAGGAAGGGAGACACACCUUUACAUAGUGUUAGUAGCUACGGUAAUUGGUUGCAAGGUUUCUAAUUCAAAUGUUUCGGUACAAGUGAUUUGUCUAUCAGAAUUCUGAGGUAUGUACAAUAUCCAUCCGCGUUCUAAUUUUGUUUCUGUUGUUUAAACUCACAAUACCAAAAUCAAAUGUGUCUUUCUGUUGCGUCUGUCUUUCCAUUUCAUUCUAAAUAUUUCUCCAAAAUCAGUCUACUAUACUCUUCAGAGUCCUGCAUUACAUUAUUCUUCUCUUGGGUGCCAGCUACUCCAAAUCUAGACCAAACAUUUAAAAAUAUAUUAAAACCAUGUGGCGGCAGGAGUUAAUGUGCACGAUCCAGCAAAGGUAGAGGCAUUUCAUAAGUACUUAAAGGAGAUCUGUAAUUAAAUAUGAAUUUUGAGUUUAAUUUGUUUAAAGAUACCGCCUCAAAGGUAUGACAAAAGUUGUUCAGUGGAACUCAACUCCUGGCUUUAAUGGGUUUUACAUUUAUUUUGUUAUAUUAAAGGUGAUGUUAAUGAGAAACUACUCCACCAGCCUUUCCAGAGUCUCCACUAUGAGCCAGGCAUACGGCUGCUUUAGGAACAAUAGUUAAGCCAUGGUCAGUGACUCCAACAGCUCCAUUGAUUGGUGAGGUAUUAGAAGAUACGCAUGCAGCUCACCACCCUACAAUAAGUUUUUCAAUAAACACUUCCAAGAAUUGAAAAGAAAGGAGCACUUCCAAACUCAUGUUACGUGACCAGCAUUGUCCUGAUGCCGAACUAGAAAAAUACUUCAAGAGAAGAAAAGUACAUUCCAACAUUCCUGAUGAACGUAGAUGCAAAAAGCCUCAAUAAAAUAUUAACAAACUGAAUUUAGCAGUACCUUGACGGGAUCCUAACACCACAACUGACUGAAAGUUGUCCCUGGGCUGCAAGGACAUUUUAACAUCUCCAAAUCAGUGUGAUGGACCACAGUAAACAGUGUAAAGGAUCAACUUUGCAUGAUCAUCUCAGUAGAUCUAGGAAAGGCAUUUGACUUAGGAGAGAAGAACGGUCUACAAACUGGGUAUAGAAGGAAUGUACUGCAAAAUAAUAAAGGCUGUUUGUGACAAGCCCACAAUGACCAUUCUAUUUGAUGGUAAACACUUUAAGUUUUUCCUCUAGUAUGAAGAACAAGACGAGGAUAACCCCUCUCAUUACCUCUGGUCAGUGUAGUACCGGAUGGCCUCGCCAGAACAGUGAGGCAAGAAAACAGGGAUAAAAUGAAUCCAAAUCAGGAAGGGAGUAAAAUGGCCUCUCUUAGCAGAUGGCAUAUCCUAUAUGUAGAAAAUUCUAGAACCACCCCCCCCAAAAAAAACAGAAGUAAGACACAUAAAUUCAGUCAAGAUACAGAAUACAAGUCAACAUACACAAAUCAGUUGCAUUUCUAUACACCAACAACGAACAAUUGGAAAAGGAAAUUAGGGACACAGUCUCAUCUAUGAUAGCAUCAAAAAGAAUAAAAUAUUUAGGAAUAAGCAUUUGACAAUAGAGUCAAAUGUUACAAUUCCAAGAAGACUUUUGUUAAAUUAUCUUUCUUAACAGUAGCACCUUCUAUUGAAAAUAGUAUAAAUGUAUACACUCUUCCAGGUCUGAGAGCAGAUCUUACUUAUCUCUAUCAAAGAGUAAAUAAAAUAUACAUAAUAAGCUCAGAAAGUAACUUUGGGAUAAAUAGAUGUGGUGGAAGGCAGAUUGCGAAAACAAUUUGGGGGUCGACAGUUUGGUCAAGGGGGGUGUCUUUCCCGGUAUCAGUGGUCUGUUCUUCUCUGUUGUGGGAUAGACUCCACAGUGUGAAUUUGCCCCGGCUCAUGUAACCAUUUGCCUGUGGGAGGGCACCCGGGUGGUGAUCCGUUUUGAAUGUUGCGAAGAAAGCCUCCGUGAACACCUGUGUGCAGGUGUUUGUGUGAACGUAAGUCUUCACUGUAUGGGAGAGAUUGCGGGAGAGCGCAGUUCCUGGGUGACAUGGCGGUUACACGUCUACUUUGGUAGACGUUGCCAGUGUGUUUUCCAGAGGGACACAGCCACGGGCAGUGUGUGAGGGACAUGUUCCUCUGCCUCCUCGGCUUUGCAGGGGUCGCUGUUAUUCCAUUACUUGCAGCCCUUCUAGUGGAUGGGCAGUGACAUCUCUAGUAGAUGGGCGGUGACUCUUCCUUCCCUUAUGGCCAACAGCAUUGACCUCUUCUCAUGUAUGUGUCCUUCCUGGUGAAACACCUGCUCAUGGUUUUGGCUCACUUUGAUUUUUACCGUUGAUUUUUAAGAUAUUUUUAUGUAUUCUGGAUACACCAUAUUUACAGAAAAGGAUAUUUAGGAAAUCUUCAAAGAUUUAUUAAAUUUAUUAUGUAUUGUAAUACUGAUAAUAGUAAAGCAGGGGUUUUGUGGGUAAAUCAAUUCCACAAAUAAAUCUCUGUCAAUUUGGUACAGAACCAUGAAACUUUGGCUUAAAAAAAUCAUCAUCGCUCUUACAUAACGAUCAUUUCUGUUCUGUUUAUUUGGCCCUUUUUUGGUCGUUCAUUUCUUCCACCAAUCUAUUUCUCACUUAAUAAAAGUUUUCCUAGGUGGGGCAUAAUUUUAAGAAGACUUAAGAGAGGCUCAUUCGAUGGCUGACACUGAAAUUUGGGGUCCAAAUCUGAGUUUUCUCAUGUAUCUGGUAGUCUCCCAGUCAAAUAUAGCACAAGUGUUUUGGAUCCUAAGAUAAUGAAUACUAGUAAGAGUCAAUGCUCAAAACUUUAACAUUUUGUUAACUUGUAUCCUGGCUUCUCCUGGAGAUAAAACAAGCCACAAUUAUAAGGUUUGCAUCUGACCAAUUCACAAAUGUAAUAUUACUUGAAGGAGCUUGCUUCUGGCUAUUAAAUUUGUCUAAUUUUCAUGAA
Felis catus (domestic cat) is the source of this 7781-nucleotide long non-coding RNA. RefSeq lists it as uncharacterized. NCBI's taxonomy places the organism in Eukaryota, Metazoa, Chordata, Mammalia, Carnivora, Felidae. The transcript is spliced from 2 exons. The record is from RefSeq and is a predicted model, not a curated record.